AGGGCGGGAGCUCCCUCAGGGCAGCGGCUUCCGUCGGGGCAGCGGCGCGCGGGGAGCGGUCGUGAAAUGGCGGUUGGCCCCCUCUUUCCCUCCCUCCUUCUUUCCCCUCAAGACCGAGGAAGUGGUCUCUGAUUCUCCACAAAGAGAAAAGGAAAAACAUCUGUCAGUUUGGUAAUGUUUUAGGGAGGUGCUGUUGUUUCAAAAGGCUGUUGGGACCCUAAGACUUCCUGCAGGUUCUCACAUCUUGGCAUACUGUCCUCGUGACUUAUCCUGCAGCCAACUUUGUAUUUCAUCAAGGUAGUAAACAAAACCUGAAGGGUUCUCAGCAAAACAUUGUCUCGAAUCUCCUCCCGUUUUCCUGAUACUCAAGCAAAGAAGCUGUCUUCUGGUUGUGAUAAUGUGAUGAUCCUCUAGCUUAAGGCUUAUCAAUAGAAAAGAUAUGUUCCUGGAUUGCUUGUGUACUAAGAAACAAAACACAUUAUGUAUUAUAUUCACACUGAAAGCACACCAAUUCAUACAAUAGAUAGAUAUAUUUAACAUGUGUCUUUUGGGCAGAUCAUUAAUUACAGCAGGACACUUUAGAUUUCGUAUGAAAGUUGAUUUUAAAGUACAGAACUAUGAAAAGAAACUUUAACUGCUAUUUCUGCUUUGGAAGCUUAAACUGGAUGAAAUAACUCAAAAAAAAAAAAAAAAAAAAGUAGUGUGGCUAAAGCAUUUAACAAUGGAAAGUUAUACCUCAUUCUGCAAUGAUUGGUUUUCCCAGCCAAAAUGGAGUUUAAAGCAGAAACUGCAACAGAUCCUGCACUAGCAAAGGUAGCAGCCAGUGCUUAGGUAUUAAGGCAAGUCCAGUACAGAGCCAAAGUUAAAAAUAAAUAUAUAGUUGAGAAGAUCAAGGUAGUUUACAGUUGAACAUACCAUGUUUCUUCCUUUCUUGUCCGUAAUAAGUACACAGAAGGCAGUUCAACCAUGUAGUUAGGCUAUGGAAAGAACAAAGCUGUUGUACAGAGUGGGAUUUCUUUUUCUGACCACUGGGGGAGCAAAUUCGUCACUGGGCAUGUUGUAGUCGUUACACUGAAACGGUUCGUUAAACAAGUGUGAAGCUCCAGUAGCGCUUAGGCUGUGCUACUGCAGAGCAGUGCUGGUGCUGCAUGGUUAUCUGUGCAGAAGGAUUCUUUUCACUUUGCAGGACACCUGACUUAUACUUUUGUUCUGGUCAGCCUCGAGGGACUGUGUAUGCCAUUUAGUAACUAUUGCUACGUGGUGUUUUUAUACAUACAUACAGCAGAAGGCUGUAUACCAUGUUCAAUUUCAUAGUUACCUGUCAGUAAACAUUCACACUUGUGUCAUGUACCUUUCUUGUUUCAGUGAGAAUCUUAAGCUAGAACAUGUAUUUACAGUGUUCUUCAGACCAAGGCAUAUGGCACCAUUUCUGUUUUACAUAAUAAAUGGAGAAUGGUUAGGGCAGAGUCGCUCCUAGAACCUAGAAGAAAGACAAAACUGUAAUUACCCUCGCCCUAUUUACCACAUGGCUACAAUAUGUCAAUUGCAAUUAUAUUAUGGAUUAUGUGCCAUUAACUGGUUUCUGUUCAGAUUUCCAUGCUAUUUAGGGCAUGCUCAGUCAUGAAUCUUUAGAAACCAUCUUUUUGUCUUGACUCUUUUGUUUGGCACACUGCCACCUAGCUGCUGCCUUCCAUCAACGGUUCUGAAGUUAUGCUAGAAGCAAGAUGGCACUUUUGACAAGUGAAGCUUACCUGAAAUAUUCUUCAGUAGAGAAACUGCUGAUGGGAAGAAGGGACAAAAAUAGAAAAACAGAAUUAUUAUUACAAUUUGUACUGUGACAGUUGAUUCAGUAUAAUUUUGAAGCAAGUUGUGAUGUGCUGACAUUAUUUUCACUCUGAAAAAAAAAAUGAUUGCAAAACACACACAGAAAGUGAAAAAGUCAUGUUUUUCCAGGCACAUUUUAAUAGGUAGUGAUUCGGGAAAAUAAAUGAGGAAGAAAUGUAAAUACAUAGGAGGCAGAUUUACUGAAUAUUUAUUUGGAGAGAACGAAAGCUGAUCAUUACAGUAACACUCAGUAUAGGAAAUAAAAUCCACGUGUUAGAAUGAAGAUGUGGAAAUAAGCUGUAUAAAGAAACUAUUACUUUGAGUUGAGGUGGAUGUGACAUCAUUUAGGGAAUUAAAGCCAGGCUGCAAAAGCAUUAAGUGGAUAUUUGACCAAAAUUGGAAAGAUGUGUUUUAAAUAACACUUUCAACGACACUUUUAAACUCUAGCAGUAAUUGUUCUGCUACCGUAUCUUUAUAUAUCUGUAUAUCAUAUAAGGCCACAAGGUGAGAACACGUAUGCUGUGCAUAAAUGUACAUGAAGAAUGCUAAGAUAAUACAGGAGGAGUAAUAUCUCCUAUUAGUACAACUAAUAUUUGAAAACAUCAGCUCUCUUUUUGGCUCAUCAGUCCUUUUUUCUCAAACUGUCCAUUCAAAGUUUGCCUUACUAUAGCCCUAGAGAAUCACCAUCAGACAUGAUAUUUUUUUAAGAACGACGAGGCAUGAACAGUAUGGCACCGAGGCAAGUCAAAUUGCCUAUGUCCUUCCUCUAUCUAUAUUUACAUGGUUUUCUGAACCAUGCCUUCUGAUAGUAAGUCAUUGCAACAGGUCUAUGAGUGAGAUGGUCUGUCAUGGUUUCCCAUGCAUUUGUCUGUUUUUACAUGCGCAGGAAAGCAUAUGGUAGAUUUGAACCCCAAAUAACAAAUGGUAUCAAAUUUUGCUCAAAAAAAGUCUGAAAAAAAUAUGAAAAAACAUGACAUUGGAAAGAUACACUGUGAUGGAUGAUUCACUGUGACCCUUUUCUCAAUUGCACAGUUUCUGGACUCUUUAUCACUGCACUAGAGUAACCAGUAGCCAGUCAUUCAGUUUAACAGCAAAUAUUGAAGCCAAACACUAAGUAAUUUGCAUUAUAGUACAAUAGUGAGUCCAGAAAGUGCCAUAUCCAGUGGUGUUUUUCAGUGGGAUUUGGAGGAAGCUCUGCAAAGUAUUGCUCACUUAAUACAACAAAAGUUCCAUAUUUCAAUUGAAUGUCAAUACAUCCACAUCUAUGAGGAAGUUAACUCCAGUUCAUAAAGAGUUGCGGAGUUUUUUCCCUAACAUUUUUAAAACAUAAAACCCUUGAAUAUGUGGGUGUGUGGAGAUAUAUGAUGUAUUUCUGUGUCCGGUACGUGCUGUGGAGAUCUGCAUUCUUCUUUGGGUAAAGAUGAGAGUUGAUACAUACCAUGUGCAUGCAUAGAGUCAUUUCUUAAUUUAGCAACUCAUACAGAAAGUCUGUCCAAUUCUUUUCAUCUUUCCUUCUUUCACUGUGUCUGUGUGGCAAACACCCUGGGGUUCCUGUGGUUUUUGAAGUGUAUUUGCAUGAUACUGUAUAAAGAGCGAAUACAUUGUUUUGCAGUUGUUCGAAGGAGGUCACAAUAAUAGAUUUUUUUCUUCUUCUUUUUCAUUUUUUCCCUUUCUUUUUCCUUUCUUUUCUUUUUCUUUUCUUUUUUUUCUUUUUUCUUUCUUUUUUUUCCCUCUUCAUUGGUAGUUGUAAUAGUUUUGGUAAUUUGGGGGUCAGCAGUUGUACAAAAGGAAGAAAUGUAUCUAAGAAGCACCUAAUUGUGACAAAUUAACAAGAGACUUUAGAUGUGGUCUAAUACCUUGUGUUCCUGGAAAUCCCUCUCCAAAAGGAGGAGUUACAUAGUUUUUAUUUUUGUCUGAGUAUUUGGCUCCUGAGCUGUAAGCACAGAAAAAGAAGAUUUCUUUGCAGAAAGGGAGGCCAAGUAUUUUUUGGUCACAAAUAAGACCAAAAUAUUUCAGACAUGCUAUACCACUGUGAUAGCAGUGCUUUUCCUAUUCUUGAACUGGUCUUCAGAACAAUCAAACAGAAAAUACUCUACAGGACUUUAUUUUUUAAGAAGUUUUGGAAAACUGCUGGCAUAUUGUCCAGUGCAAAAGUAAGCAACAAAGCUUUAUAGUAUGUAGUUAAUCAGAGCAGAUGUUGAUGAGUCCAUCUUUCUGUGGCCCCUAUGUUCCAUUUUUACUUUGUUAAGUUUAGCACCAUUAUGACAAACUGACAGGAUACAUUACCCACCCCUAUGUUGAUGUAGUCCCAUCCACAGUAAUGCAGAAUGACACGAGGAGUGGGAAGGUUAAAGCAUAGGUCUAUUCCCCUAACAGAUACACAAAGACUCCACCAGAACCUACCAGCGAUGCAGGAAAAAUUGAGUGCUUUACAUAGAUGUGCAAGAAACAUUGCUUUUUCUUUAUGGUUUACACCUGUGCAAUGCCCCUGCUGCAGCUGGAGGAAGGGGACUGGCCCUGAACUGCAGCAAUACAUUCAGCAGGAAGAAAAAAUGAAGUUGUUUGCCUGAAGCUGAUGCAGACCUGAAAACUUAAGGAUCCUUACGGAAAGAAACGUGGAGUAAAGUGAUUACAGCCCAGAUAUUUAUAGGAAGAGGAGAGUGGAUGAGUUGGAGGAGCAUUGAGUUUGAAAGAAGAACACUGGGACAUUCAGAACUAAGAGGAACUUUGGAACAGGAAUCACAGGGAGGUCAUUACAGAGAAGAGCUGGGAAGGUGGCUCACAAAGGACUUGCAAGGGAAAGAGGUAAAAAGGCUUGGAACCUGCAGUCGUUAUGAAGUACAUAACUAUCAAAUUUCUGUGGCCUUUCUUCUACAAACUGUGCCCCUGAUAGUGUUAAUAGUCUGUUAAUUGCUAUAUAUUUGCAUUAAAUGUUUUUGAAAGUUGAAGAUAUAUUUCUGGUUUGAAUGUUAGAAUCAGAGUCUGGUGUAACAUUAAUAUGUUUUUAACAUGCCUUAGGUUGCUUCUCUUCUGCUCCUUGGCAGGGCUGAUGAGCUGACUGUAGGGUAGACAUGGCUGUUUUGAAUUGUGUUUCCCUUUGAGGCAAUCAGAUUACUUGAACUACCUUUCUAUUUAUAAACCCUGCUUAAUGGAGUAUCAGCAUGGACCCAUGACAUGCAACAUCUCUACAAAAGCGUGGAACAGGAUGCUAUAUCACUGAAUUUCCUCUGUCACUUUUGAAACUUUUUUGGGGGGUCUUUUUUUGUGGGUCUUUUCCAACCUUAGCGAUUCUAUGAUUCUAUGAAACCGAAGGGGUUUCUGAGUGACACUUACCAGCUCUGGCUUUAAGCUGCGAAAACUCCAUCAACGUCCACCGAUUGUGCAGGGAACUUUAGAGCCUCUUACAAGGCUAACAGGGUUUUCAGUGCUGGAUAUUACUCAGACUACUGUCAUUAGCCCUGAAAUGUCCAAAUGCAUGGCUGUUGCAGGACUUUUACAAAAAUAAGUACUUGAAAGAAGUUCAAAUUUAUAGUCUAUGGACCUGGUUCAGACCUCAGUUAAGUUCUUGUAAAUCCCGAGUAAAGUUCAUUUUGUAGUAGUAGCUGAAAGGGCAAGAUUCAGAGCAAUACAGUGUCAGUAUGGUUUCACAGAAGCCAAUGCAUUUAUUUCUGUUAAUAAAUCAGGCCUCUAAGCAUUUGGCUACUUUUCUUUAGUAAUUAAUGGAGAUAGUAGAUGAGGAGAGAGUGUUUAUACCACCCAAAUUUAAUCUCCUAGGCAUCUCUCUGAAGCUGAUUAAGAGCUAUAGAUUCUUCCAGAAUGUAGUUCAAAGCACUUAUAUUAAUUAUUUUAUGUAUUUGUGGAUAGUUAAACUAAGGUUGCCAAGAAAAAGCAAGCUUGCAUUGACUGUGAUUAGAGUUAAUGUUACAGUAGAGCAGAGCUCUGAGAUGUUAUACUCAGGAGAGAGGAAACUCUGAGAAAUAAAGGCUAAUAUAAAAAACUCAGGCUUAGUAUUCUGAUUACGUACAUUUUUUUGUCUACAUUUGGCUCAAAGCAUGGGCCCCUGAGAUAGGUGAAACUGAAGGUUGAAAGAAAAUCAGUACUAAUAAUUUUGGUCUAAUGCAACUUGGAAUCUGUCAGAAGGAGCAGUGGAAUAGGAAGCAGCCUUUGGUCAAGUUUAAUUUUUCUCUGAAAUAUUUCUGUGAACUAUGGUAAAAACAGAUGGAAUCUAAAAUAUACUAAGUGGAAGAAAAUGACAAAAGGAUAAAGCAAUGCAUUGUACUGAAAAAUAAUUACUUUAAGUUUGACCACUUGGAAUGUGUUUCAAAAGCACCAAGUCAAAAGCAUUUUCUUUCUACUUUUUCAUUUCCAUGAUACAUUUUCCUUUUCAGGGAACACAUCUUCAUCUGUAGAACAAAUAUGUGCUUAAUGCAUUUUAUAUUAAGAACAAUAAUGCUUGACGUUGAAUUUUAGCAAAUGUUAUUAUGGAAAGAAGUCGUAAGUACCAGGUCUGUUGGCCGAUGAUUUUAGGGACUGUUUCUUUGAACAUGGAAAUUUAACAAAACUGAAA
Long non-coding RNA from Gallus gallus (chicken), 6391 nucleotides. RefSeq lists it as uncharacterized. NCBI's taxonomy places the organism in Eukaryota, Metazoa, Chordata, Aves, Galliformes, Phasianidae. The transcript has 2 exons. The record is from RefSeq and is a predicted model, not a curated record.